AGCAUAUCAAUAAGCGGAGGAAAAGAAACCAACAGGGAUUGCCCCAGUAACGGCGAGUGAAGCGGCAACAGCUCAAAUUUGAAAUCUGGCUUCGGCCCGAGUUGUAAUUUGUAGAGGAAGCUUUUGGCAAGGCACCGACUGAGUCCCCUGGAACGGGGCGCCAUAGAGGGUGAGAGCCCCGUAUAGUUGGACGCUGAGCCUCUGUAAAGCUCCUUCGACGAGUCGAGUAGUUUGGGAAUGCUGCUCAAAAUGGGAGGUAAAUUUCUUCUAAAGCUAAAUAUUGGCCAGAGACCGAUAGCGCACAAGUAGAGUGAUCGAAAGAUGAAAAGCACUUUGAAAAGAGGGUUAAAUAGCACGUGAAAUUGUUGAAAGGGAAGCGCUUGUGACCAGACUUGCGCCUGGCCGAUCAUCCGGGGUUCUCCCCGGUGCACUCGGCCAGGCUCAGGCCAGCAUCGGUUCUCUUGGGGGGACAAAGGUCCCGGGAACGUAGCUCUCUACGGGGAGUGUUAUAGCCCGGGGCGUAAUGCCCUCGAGGGGACCGAGGACCGCGCUUCGGCAAGGAUGCUGGCGUUACGGUCAUCAGCGACCCGUCUUGAAACACGGACCAAGGAGUCAAGGUUUUGCGCGAGUGUUUGGGUGUAAAACCCGCACGCGUAAUGAAAGUAAACGUAGGUGAGAGCUUCGGCGCAUCAUCGACCGGCCCAGAUGUUCUCGGAAGGGCCUGAGUAGGAGCGUUAAGCCUUGGACCCGAAAGAUGGUGAACUAUGCUUGGAUAGGGUGAAGCCAGAGGAAACUCUGGUGGAGGCUCGCAGCGGUUCUGACGUGCAAAUCGAUCGUCAAAUCUGAGCAUGGGGGCGAAAGACUAAUCGAACCAUCUAGUAGCUGGUUACCGCCGA
This 896-nucleotide ribosomal RNA is filed under the name Podospora striatispora. RNAcentral's name for it is "LSU rRNA". It matches the Rfam family "Eukaryotic large subunit ribosomal RNA", at positions 37 to 964 of the family's 3401-position model. Lineage: Eukaryota; Fungi; Ascomycota; Sordariomycetes; Sordariales; Podosporaceae. The record is from RNAcentral.